UAUGGCCAUAUCACAUUAAAACACCAGUUCUCAUCUGAUCACCAAAGUUAAGCAAUGUCAAGCCUGGUCAGUACCUAGAUGGGUGCCCAUUUGGGAAUAGCUGGUGCUGCAA
This is a non-coding RNA of Acanthosepion pharaonis, 112 nucleotides long. Lineage: Eukaryota; Metazoa; Mollusca; Cephalopoda; Sepiida; Sepiidae. The record is from the annotation of a GenBank genome assembly.